GACCAGGUGACGCUGGUGCAGGCCCACAUCAUCCCCACCUUCUACUCCAUGGAGUCCUUCGAGACCGCCAGCAACCCCGUCCGCACCCAGGCCUCCGGCACCGACGGGCCCUGCACCGUCAACGUCACCGCCACCAGCAACAGCGCCGUCAACGUCUCCACGGGGAUCGUCCACACCACCGUCGGCACCGCGCUGCGCGCCACCAGGCCGCUCGCCGUCUACUCCGUCGACAAGGUGCUGCUGCCCAUGGACCUCUUCGGCCCCAAGCCCCCGGCGUCCGCGCCGCCGGCCCCCGGCAAGAAGCCCUCGUCGGCCAAGGGGGCAGCCAAGGCGCCCUCGGGCGACGACGAGGACGAGGAAGAUGCCCCGCCCGCCGGUGCCGCCACCGCCGUCGGCGCCGGAUGGAGGAGCCUGGUCGCCGUGGUGGCAGCCGCCACCGCCGCGUGCCUCUUGUAAGAAGAAGAUCAUGGUUCAUGAGACCGACAGAUCGAUGGAGACUAGCUGCGUGCGUGCAUGUUGUGCAUGGAUUUGGAUAGCUUACGAGUAGUUCUUGGUGGCUGCUGCUUCUCUUCUUUCUUUUGUUAAAUGUUCAGUUUUGCUGCUCUUUUUCUUCUUCUCUUGUUAUUGAACCGGCGAGAAAGUUUGGGCUAAAAUGUGACGAAAUGUUUCACUGUUGAAUCAAGCCGUCGUUGGGUGAUUAAAUUCUACUAGCACUGCAUUUUAUCUUCAGCUAUUUAGCCGUUA
This 744-nucleotide long non-coding RNA is filed under the name Triticum aestivum (bread wheat). RNAcentral's name for it is "long non-coding RNA (TAES_LNC026806)". The record is from RNAcentral. Lineage: Eukaryota; Viridiplantae; Streptophyta; Magnoliopsida; Poales; Poaceae.